RNAcentral lists this ribosomal RNA (275 nucleotides) under uncultured bacterium. RNAcentral describes it as "partial 16S ribosomal RNA". It matches the Rfam family "Bacterial small subunit ribosomal RNA", at positions 338 to 629 of the family's 1533-position model. The record is from RNAcentral.
CCUACGGGGGGCUGCAGUGAGGAAUAUUGGGCAAUGGGGGCAACCCUGACCCAGCAAUGCCGCGUGCAGGAGGAAGCCCUUCGGGGUGUAAACUGCUUUUAAGGGGGAGGAGCAAGGACCGUACCCCUUGAAGAAGUCACGGCUAACUACGUGCCAGCAGCCGCGGUAACACGUAGGUGGCGAACGUUAUCCGGAAUUACUGGGCGUAAAGGGUCCGCAGGCGGAGGAGGAGGUCUGAUGUGACAGCCCGUGGCUCAACUACGGGAAGCCAUUGG